CCUAAGGUAGCGAAAUUCCUUGUCGGGUAAGUUCCGACCUGCACGAAUGGCGUAACGACUUCCCCACUGUCUCGACCAGGAGCUCGGCGAAAUUGCAGUACGAGUAAAGAUGCUCGUUAAGCGCAGAAGGACGAAAAGACCCCGGGACCUUUACUAUACCUUGGUAUUGGCGUUAGGCGCGGAUUGUGUAGCAUAGGCGGGAGGCUUCGAAGCGGGUGCGCCAGCAUUCGUGGAGCCGCAAGGUGAAAUACCGCUCUGUUCUCGUUUGACGUCUAACCUCGACAAGUCAUCCUUGUCAGGGACAGUGCCUGGCGGGUAGUUCAACUGGGGCGGUUGCCUCCCAAAGAGUAACGGAGGCGCUCAAAGGUCCGCUCAGCCCGGUUGGCAAUCGGGUGUCGAGUGUAAUCGCACAAGCGGGCUUGACUGCGAGGACGACGGUCCGAGCAGGGACGAAAGUCGGAGAUAGUGAUCCGGUGCCGGCGCACGGGCGCGGCAUCGCUCAACGGAUAAAAGGUACCCCGGGGAUAACAGGCUGAUCAUUCCCAAGAGUCCAUAUCGACGGGAUGGUUUGGCACCUCGAUGUCGGCUCGUCGCAUCCUGGGGCUGGAGCAGGUCCCAAGGGUUCGGCUGUUCGCCGAUUAAAGCGGCACGCGAGCUGGGUUCAGAACGUCGUGAGACAGUUUGGUCUCUAUCCUCUGCGCUCGUUGGAAUCCUGAGGAGGCCUGCCCAUAGUACGAGAGGACCUGGGUGGACGAACCUCUGGUAUGCCGGUUGUCGCGCCAGCGGCACGGCCGGUUGGCUACGUUCGGGAGGGAUAACCGCUGAAAGCAUCUAAGCGGGAAGCCUGCUCCAAGAUUAGGAUUCCAUGGAUCUUCGAGAUCCUGUAGCCCGCAUGUUGAACACGUGUUUGAUAGGCCGGAGGUGGAAGCCCCGUGAGGGGUGGAGCCGACCGGUACUAACGGGCGACGGCGACACAAC
RNAcentral lists this ribosomal RNA (978 nucleotides) under human gut metagenome. RNAcentral's name for it is "bacterial LSU rRNA". It matches the Rfam family "Bacterial large subunit ribosomal RNA", at positions 1950 to 2925 of the family's 2925-position model. The record is from RNAcentral.